AGGAGUGUAGCUCAAUCGGCUAGAGCACCGGUCUCCAAAACCGGGGGCUGGGGGUUCGAGUCCCUCCACUCCUGCCA
This 77-nucleotide transfer RNA is filed under the name Microvirga aerilata. Its description in RNAcentral is "tRNA-Trp". It matches the Rfam family "tRNA". From Rfam's summary of the family: Transfer RNA (tRNA) molecules are approximately 80 nucleotides in length. Their secondary structure includes four short double-helical elements and three loops (D, anti-codon, and T loops). The record is from RNAcentral. Lineage: Bacteria; Pseudomonadati; Pseudomonadota; Alphaproteobacteria; Hyphomicrobiales; Methylobacteriaceae. RNAcentral also lists the same sequence under 7 other names.